Long non-coding RNA from Mesocricetus auratus (golden hamster), 1739 nucleotides. RefSeq lists it as uncharacterized. The transcript has 3 exons. NCBI's taxonomy places the organism in Eukaryota, Metazoa, Chordata, Mammalia, Rodentia, Cricetidae. The record is from RefSeq and is a predicted model, not a curated record.
UGCUGGGCAGUGUUCCCAGAAUAGUCCUGCCCCAGUGCAUUGCUCUGAGCAGGACUCAGAAACCCUGGGAGGGGAGAUCCACAGAGUGCUGGUGAUUCCCAAGGAAAUGGAGAAGAAACACCAGACUUCAGAGAACCGUCCAUGCACAGUGAGAAUGUCACCUACGCUACCUGUCUCCAGGUGUAGCCAUGAGCCAUGGAGACAGUGGUGCUGGAAACAGGACCCCAGAGUACCUGACCUAGUGGGUAUGUCCAGGAGAUACGUUGCCGACCAGAUCAGAGCAAGCAACAGAAGACUGAAAAUCAGCAAGGAGAACCCAUCUGGAGUCCGAAAGUGAAGACAGAGUGGACAGGGACAGCUCAGUCCCCACAGCUCUGGUUCAGGCCUCAAUCAACAGCAUCCUGACUACUACACAGUCAUGCUGAGAGAGAUCCGGAGACUUCACAAAUCACCCCAGCUCUAGUGUCUGGUUGUACACAUUGUUUCAAACUUGAGUUGUCUGAUCUGUACUCUUUAUAUCUGGCUGGAAAUACUCUCCCUGUCUCUGUCUGUCUGUCUCUCUCUCCCCUCCUAAUCUGCCUUGGGCUUAGUUGAUGCUAGAGAAGUUUGCUUGAAACGGAGAGGAUUCACAUUCCAAACAAGGAGCUAUGUGAUGCCAGUAUUAUGCAUCUUGUUCUCCAUUUUGCCCCAGAGCAUCCAGCCAUGUGCAAGUUUUACCACAAAGUGAACACCUGGCAUGCACAGGUCCUUGCCAUCUCUGCCUCUGCUGCUGCUGUUGCUGCUGCUACUGCUACUGCUGCUGCUGCUGCAUUGUUAUCUCCAAUGCAGGCUGGGAAAGGCCAGAUGCUUCUGAUGCCAAUAUGGGAGCAUUCCAAAGCCCCGUACUGUGAAAACCACAGAAAACCACCAGGAAUGUCACUCAACAUGGAACCAGGCCUGAGACCAGCCUCAAAUGCAGUGGUCUGAAAAGGGGGCACCUUUCUGAUCACAGACACCCUGCGUGGAAGAGGAGCACACAGGUGAUGCCUCCUGGCUCAGGCCAUCUGAAACACGUGGUCAGCUACUGGGCGAUGCAUCACUGAACUCUGUAGUUCUUACCAAACCCCUCCUUAUUCCGGCCUCCCUGAUGGAAGAGGCUCCUGCUGACUGACAGAGAAGUAGAGCUGGAGCCGGAGACUCACAAGUGGAUGGACUGAGAAGAACAAAAUAAGAAAACUGUGUUCUGAUCCUGGGAGCACCCAGCACCUUACCCCGAACCCUUGUCAUGGGAGAGCACUGUCUGAGGUGGCUUGGAGAACUUCCUCACUGAGGGUAAUUCCUGUCCUGGCAGGAGGAGGAAGGUGCUUCUCAAGCCCCCUCCAUCAACCACCUCUAUUGCUGUGUACAUGGGGCAUGGGGACUCAGCUGGUCUUACUGUCCCUUUGGUCAUCUAGGCACGGACACCACUUUCCCAGAAAGAAAACUCAGAAAGACUGCCAGCGGCAAGAGCCAGACAUACAGAACACUUUGUGGGCUCUAUCUGUUUGCACCACCUACAGCAGCGACGUCAACCAUUACCUGCAGAACUGGACCAUUUUGAGAGGACCCAGAUUUUGAAAGCCGAGUUACUGAUUUUGUGCAUUGUGUGUCUGGAUGAAGAUCAGUCAGUCAGGAUGUGCAGGGAGACCUGGGUACCACGUUGUGUCUACAGAAGUCUUACCAAGAGUGUCACACACAGGAACCCAGGAAAAGCAUCUGUA